UUUUAAAGGAAGAACAUGUUUCACCAUCGUUCUCCUUCUGCUCAUGGCUUUCUUAAUAUUCUUCCAGCUUAACAUAUGGGACACAUUGUUUCAGCCUAAAAUGAGCUCCACCAUCU
Trematomus bernacchii (emerald rockcod) is the source of this 116-nucleotide long non-coding RNA. RefSeq lists it as uncharacterized. Lineage: Eukaryota; Metazoa; Chordata; Actinopteri; Perciformes; Nototheniidae. The record is from RefSeq and is a predicted model, not a curated record. The transcript has 3 exons.